GACCGAGGUGCCGAGCGUUAGGCGGAAUCACUGGGCUUAAAGCGUGUGUAGGUGGUUGUCUAAGUACCUUGUGAAAUCCCACGGCUUAACCGUGGAACGGCUCGGUAUACUGGAUGUCUUGAGCCAGCUAGGGGCUACCGGAACAAAUGGUGGAGCGGUGAAAUGCGUAGAGAUGUGGAGGAAUACCGAUGGCGAAGGCAGCCCCCUGGGAUAACACUGACGCUCAUGCACGAAAGCGUGGGGAGCAAACAGG
RNAcentral lists this ribosomal RNA (253 nucleotides) under uncultured bacterium. Its description in RNAcentral is "partial 16S ribosomal RNA". It matches the Rfam family "Bacterial small subunit ribosomal RNA", at positions 524 to 776 of the family's 1533-position model. The record is from RNAcentral.